UACGUAGGAUGCAAGCGUUGUUCGGAAUUACUGGGCGUAAAGAGUACGUAGGCGGUUUGGUAAGUCUGAUAUUAAAGACUGGGGCUCAACUCCAGGAGUGUAUCGGAAACUGUCAGACUAGAGGACAAUAGAGGAAGUCGGAAUUCUCAGUGUAGCGGUGAAAUGCGUAGAUAUUGGGAAGAACACCCGUGGCGAAAGCGGCUCUCUGGGACGGUACUGACGCUUGAGACGCGGAAAGCGUGGGGAGCAAACA
Molecule: ribosomal RNA, 253 nt
Filed under: uncultured bacterium
Lineage: Bacteria
Description: partial 16S ribosomal RNA
Rfam family: Bacterial small subunit ribosomal RNA
Source: RNAcentral